This is a long non-coding RNA of Equus caballus (horse), 2215 nucleotides long. RefSeq lists it as uncharacterized. NCBI's taxonomy places the organism in Eukaryota, Metazoa, Chordata, Mammalia, Perissodactyla, Equidae. The record is from RefSeq and is a predicted model, not a curated record.
CAUCUGUUGCUAAUCUUCCUCUUUUUUUGCUAGAGGAAGAUUGUCACUGAGCUAACAUCUGUGCCCAUCUUCCUCUAUUUUUCGUGGUACGCCACCACAGCAUGGCUUGAUGAGUGGUGCUAGUCCGUGAACGGGAUCCGAACGUGUGAACCCUGGGCUACGGAAGCAGUGCAUGCAAACUUAAUCACUACACCACUGGGCCAGCCCCGCUUCUCCAUCAUUUCUUAAAGAGCAGAAACAUCAGCUCUAUCAACAUUUUAUUAAUACAUUCUGUGCCCUGAGAUGUAAUUAUUCUGGUUCUGAGAAUUUAAAUGCAUUUAAAGCAUAUUAAAUUCUCUCUUAUUAUCUUUUAUCUUCGGGGAAGUAUCCUCUUAAAGAUAGCUUUCCCACCAUUUAUUGUUAGGAAUUAUUCCCCUUGGCAGUAAAGCAAAGGAGGAAUUGAGUCAUUUACUAUUCUCUCUUUCAUGCGUUAACAUUUUACUAUCUGCCCAAAGAAGUGAGUCUUUAUCUAUGUUUGUUUCCUUAGGAGCAUUAUUUACGACUUUGCCAGCCUCUCCUCUUCCUGGCCAUAUUCUUUUGGGUUUAAUAAUUUGUUGUUGUUUGGCUGCGAUUCCCUUCUCCUGUAUUUUGUACAUGUGCUUCUAUUUUAAAAUAAAGCCUAGGAGACACAUUUUGAGGUCAUGGCCUUUCUCUGAGAGCCCACGGCUAGAUUUGGGGUUUGUGUGAGGUCAUUAUCGUCCUUGACCACAGUCAACUGGACAAGGGACGAACAGCUGGAAUGUCAGACUCUCGCCGCAGUUUGGAGCUGAGACUGAAUUGCUGUUUUAGUCCCAGUUGGCCACUUGAAUGGAGAGAUUAGGACCUCAGAAGUAGUGAAAUGAAGUAUAGUGGGACUGCACACAAUGAAAUGGUGAGAGAGGAGAAUGGAAAGACGUAUAGAGAUGUGAAGCCCAAGAGAUGAGCCCCUGAUGGUUUACCAGGUCCUCAUAAGUUAUGGAAGGAUAAGUCUUUGAAAUUUCAAUUGCAUUCUCUGCUCCUCACUACUUCCACUAUGAGGAGGUGGCUGGAGCAUUGAUAUUCCCUUGACUCUCAAACGUUACAGGUUAGAAAGCAAAAGCCGCAACAACACAGAGAAGCACUGUGGGGCUGUGGGUAGUGGCAGUUCUCGAGUCAGGUCAUCUGCUUUCGGAGAAUCUCGUGUCACUUCCGGUCUGUGAGACCCUGGGCAAGUGGCUUCAUCACCCUAUUGUCUCAUCUGUUAAAUGGGGAUAAUACUGCCUAUCUCAUAGUAUUGUGAUAAUUAAAUUAACUAAAAAUGUAAAGUCCUUGGAACAAUUACCAUCCAGUCAUAAAGGAACUAAUACGUGCAAGUUAUUUUUAUUAUCUUAGUUUUUUUUCCAAAGCCCAAAACUAAUUGAAGAGCAGCACUGCAUGUUCCAGAGGGUGAAAGGAGAGAGGAACGCCGCCAAGGACUUGGAGUGUGUCUGGAGGAAGCAGAGCAGCCAAAGUGAAUCCUAUCUGAUUCUGCAAGAAAAUAACAGAGCUUACAGAUCCAAAGUACAAACUAGGACAAUGGGAAAAAUGGAACAAUGGGUGGAAACUCUGAGGACUGUUGACAAAAGACUGGAGAGGCCUCUUCUGUUCUCGGGGGCUCGCCUGGACAAAGAUAAGCAGUCAGUUGUUCCUUAUUGAUCUGAAUCCAGUCCGGAAUGGCAGUUCUUGCUGCUUCCUCUACCAGCUGAGCGGAGACCAUCAGCGAGGCAAGCCAAGAACUUAGCAUCUGCAAUUCUUCCAGCAGAGUUAGUCCACCUAAAGCUGCAGAGCUCCUUGAGUCUUUCAAAUGUGGUUUUUACACCUCUGGGGGACAAUAGAAGAGAUUCUUCGGCAUGGUGUGGAUAACGCCUAUAGAGACUGCCUUUGUUAUUUAAAUCAUUCACAGAGCCCAUUGUUCUUUGAAACUGGUCGACUGUGCAAUUGAACUGAAGCCAUACACUGAAGUGGCGAGAAGGAACACAGAGAAAUGGGCACAAGGAGUGUGAAACUCACAACGCCCACUUUGCCAUGGAUUCGCUCUGUGAUUCUGUACAAGCUGCUCUAACUUGCUGGAUUUUACUCUUGCCAUCUAUAAAAUGGGGAUAAUUAUGUCUCUUCUGGAUAGCUCACAAAAGUGUCUGGUACGGUGCUUGAAAACAUAAUGAAGUUCUGUUCGAACGGA